Paramuricea clavata is the source of this 214-nucleotide non-coding RNA. Lineage: Eukaryota; Metazoa; Cnidaria; Anthozoa; Malacalcyonacea; Plexauridae. The record is from the annotation of a GenBank genome assembly.
GUCUUUUUUGCUUUAUCAUAAAAUAUAGCCCCCACCCCCCACCCCCCUCUGGCCGGGCUAGGGGGGUGUGCACCCCCCCCCCAGUAAAUCCAUCCCUGUAUAAGGUUAUAUUUCAUUAAGGGGUUGAGUCUUAAUAAUAGUUUAUUUGUGAAUUUAUUUAAAUAUAUAUCAUUUUGAUAUUGAGCAUAAUAGUUUUCACCUAAAUACAUUGUGC